This is a long non-coding RNA of Apis cerana (Asiatic honeybee), 4662 nucleotides long. RefSeq lists it as uncharacterized. NCBI's taxonomy places the organism in Eukaryota, Metazoa, Arthropoda, Insecta, Hymenoptera, Apidae. The record is from RefSeq and is a predicted model, not a curated record.
UUAUUCUAUAUAUAUUUCCUUAUACGUUUUCUAUAUUAUUUUUUAUUUUAUUUAUAUUUUUUUAUCCGUUAUUCUAUGAUAUUUUCCCAUAAUUUUCAAACAAAAUUAUGUAAUCAAACAAUUUCUUACACAAAAAUUGAAAUGAUAUUAAUCGUUAACUUAUUUUAUUUUUAUUCAGUUCACCGGAUAUUGAUUAUAAUUUUUACCACGUGGUGUAUCGAGUGACAAAUAUAUAAAAUCCAAGCAAUAAAUAUAAAAAUUAACCUAAUCAGUGUAUCUUGAAGCGUGCCAUCAUUAUCUUUGUCGAAAAGAAAAAGAGAGGGAAUCGAUAUCGUUUUGAAGAAUUUAAUCUGUAUAUUUCUUUAAAUAAAAACAAAUUAUCAACAAAGCACGGUUGUGUAAUAUGUUAUGUGAUAUUGAAGAAAAUGUCAACUCCAUAUAUUUUUUAAAGAAUCUAUUUUAAAGAUGAUAAAAUAUUCCACAAUUCAUAAAUAAAACAUACAUGCAUUUUUCACAAUUUUGGUUUUAAGUCUCGAAAAAUAUUAUUUUAUAAUAAAGAUAUCUAAUUAAAUCUUUGGUUAAUUUUAUAAUUUUGCAAUUGAAAUUUGCAAUUACAAUUUUUUAAUCGGAUUUUAAAUUAGGAAUAUUUAAUCCUUUUAAUUUAUCAAUUAGAUAUUAUAAGGUAUUAUAAAGUAUUAUAAGAAAAUGUCUUAUUUAUACAUGCUAUUAUAAUUAAUAAUAUUUUAUAAUAUAUGUUAAUAUAUUAUUAGUAAUGUAAUAAAAUUUUAAUUAUAAUAUUUCAGCAAUAAUUUAUUAUAAUAUUAUAUUGAUAUAAAUAGAAAUGUUAAUUCACGAUAUUUUAAUAAUAAUAAUAAAUAUUUUAAUAAUAAAUAAAAUCAAUUUUUGUAAAAUAUUUAUUAAAGCAUAAAUAAUAUUAUAUAAUGUUAUUUAUUUAUAGUAUAGAAGAAUUAAUGAAGAAUUAAAGUUAUGAUUGAUUAAGAAUCAUUUUUGAAUUGUCAAUUGUAUCAUUUUCAAUAUUAUCAAACACUUGUCCAAUAUUUAUUUCAUAUUAUAUGUUUAUUUUUUGUUAUACAUUUUAUACAUUUAUUAUUUGUUCAAAUAAAAUCGAUUUUCUUUAUCUUCUGAAAAAUAACAUUUUUCGUGGUCAUAUAAAAGGAAAACCGUUGUAGUCGAUAUUUUAAUAAUGUAAUUCCUUAUCAAGAAUAAAUUAUUUAAAAUAAAAAGAUCGUAUAAAUGUAAAAUAAUUUUCAAUAGAUAGUGAAUUACAAAUUAAUUAGACAAUUACGAUUUUUUAAAAUCUUUCAAUUUAUUUUAAUUAUUUUAAUUAUCAUUAAUGUUAGAAAAUUAUAUAUAACGAUAAAAAUUCUUUUCUUAUCAACUUACAUAUUCAUAAUAAAUGUAAUAAUUAUUUUAUUACUCAGUUUCUUUCAUUUAUCCGUCAAUCACGUGAAAAAGCAAAAAGAAAAACAGUUGAAACUCUAAUAAAAACUAAUCGCGCUAUUAAAACAUUAUAUAUCUUCUAGAUUAAUGAGCUUCUUCCCCAAGCUGAAAAUGAUUGUGCAAUUAACGUUCAUAGGGGUGUUCGUGGCAAUCCCAUGCGCGUGUUAAUGGUUCUGCUAAACAACCCAAAGGAGGCUCUCGAUACGAUCACUUCGACCCUGAUAAACGGGUAAACAAGUAGGUAAUGUCGACAGUAGUAACGGUUCGGUGUGUGGUCAGACGCGCACACGUGACUGCAGUUGCAUCGUGUUGCGCUAAUUCGAUGCAAAUAUAAAUUGAUCUCGACGACUCUUGUCGAUUGAUCACGCGGCCAGAAAAAUCUAUCGCGUCCUUUGAUCCGUGACUGUGCGCGGCGUGUUAUUCGCGAGCAAGUAUUUUAACGUUCGAGCUGUUACAUUAGUGAUGCAAAUGAUGAACGCAAAUAUAAAAUGAUCAUUCCAAGAUCCAUUCGUGGGAUGGUGCGGCCACGUGGUGCAUCGAUAACAUUCUGUCACUGCAACGACCGCGUGUGCACGCACACAUGUGAAAUCGUAUACGCGUGGAAGGCAUCGACCGAAUAACAGUCCUCGACUCUUUGUCUCUCUGUCGCACCCGCGACCUCGUGUCUACAUCCUCCGGUCUCCGUCGUCGCCGAUUGAAUAAGGAACACACACGAGAUAUUUGGAGAUAUUUAUAAUGCAUGGACGCGUGCGACAUCGGUUAGAAAGAGAGAAAUACCCGAUGAACGGAGGAUCGAAUGGUCGGCUGGCGGGUUUCGUUGGGAUCACUGGGGAAAGGCGAACCGGAGAGACAUUGGGGCAGGUCGUGCACAAACGUGCCGCCACGGAAGCUUGCAAGGUGAGGAGGAGAAACGAUAUACGAAGAUAGAGACGGAGAAAACGCGUGGAAACCGUUUGGGGAACGAAGAUGCCGAAAGAAUGGGUUGGCGAAGGGACGAGGUGAAUAGGGAAUGAGAAAUGGCGAGAUAGAGAUUAGGCGAUUUGUAUCGAACACGACGUGUACAACAUCUUGGAGAUUUUGCUUUUUUAAGAUCGCUCUCAUUGCUCGUUUUCCUAUAUCGUGCGUGUUUCUAAACGUUUUGUGUAUAACGUUGACCGUGAAUCGAUCGAGCAGGUAAUAAAUAAGGGAUGGGCCAUUGUACGGCCGAUUUGGUAAUCGCCGUUUUAGGAAGGUGCUAAUGCAUUUCGAUUAAUUGCUUAUACCAUUCUGCAUUGUGUUCCAGUCGUGGAUAAACUGGUAAUCUCAAUUAGAGGCCAAGUUAAAUGUGUUGAUACGCACAUUUAGGUUCGAGUUUGAUCGAAAAUUUAACUUUUCAAGGAAAAAACGUACUUUUAAGAGGAAUUACUAUUAUUUUCAAUACCAAAUUCUCUUUUUUUUCUUUUUUUUUUUGACCAUUUACGGAUAAAUUAAAACAUCGAAGUUAAUUCGCAACGUGUACAAAGACGUACGAUUUCGGCUGAAAUUCUUUUAGUCGGAAAGGAAAAAAGAAAAAGAAAGCUCGUGUUUUCGAAUAUCCGUGUUGGCAAGCGUUCGACACCGCUCGACGAGGGGAGGAGGAGGAGAGGAAAGUGAAAAGAAAACGAAUCAACGAUGAUGUGUCGGACGUCGCGCACGAACGCCCAUUCAUACGUCCGCAGAGAGAUAUUUAUUGGGGAAAGAGAGUGAGAGGGAAAGAGGAACGACCAGACGAGGAUUAUGUAAUUUGUAUCUGGUAGAUUAGUUUUACGACACUUCGGUUCCUGUUACCGGACUGUGUCCCCACCAGCCGGUUGUACGUACUGUUGCGUGGGCACGCGACGUGAAUCAUUGUUCGUCAGAAUAUAUUAAAUGAUCCAGACUGAUAGGCGUACUACGGGUAAAGAGGCGCCUCGAAUGUUGUCGAAUUUACUGGCGUAGGUCAGUGCACGGAUUCUGACACCGUUGUUUCAAACCGCUUCGAAUUCCGCGCGUGCCUGGAAUUUCUUUUUCGAUACUCGGAUCGUUGUAAAAUUGGAGUACCACGAGUUUUGCGAAUGAGCUAAUCUUUUUGUUGUUAACCGAUUUAAACGAUUUCUGGUACAUGCGCAUCAUGUAUGCAUCAUGAUAUUAAAUAGUGGGAAUAAUAUUCGGAUUCUGAAAAUAUUUGUGUAUCAUUGCAUCGAUAGGAAAGUUAUAUAUGGUUUUUGAUUCCGAUAAGAUAAACAAUCUCGAAUGAACGCAUCAUCGUUUAUCGAUAAAUUUCAUUUCACGAUUAUUCUUGUUUAAGCAAAUGAAAAUUAUGUCUGUUAAAUAAGUUGUUAGAAAAUAACAAGCUAUGUUAUGUAAUAGAUUUAAAGAAGACGUGCAGUUAUUCCUGAAAAAAAGAACAUAUAUUUUGUCUGGUUGGAAAGUGACGAGACGACAUUAUGGAAAUCGAAGUUCAUGGGAAACGAUAUCUUGCACCGUUAACGUCGCUUCCUUUAGCCCACUUUCGUGACAAUGUACCAUGUGGCCGGAAUAUAUAUUGUUGAGGUGGAUGCGGUUUCUGGUUUGUACGUACAUUAGAGGACCGUUCGAGUAGAAAGUACAACACGGCGGGAAACUUGCAAGUUUGUUGGAUAAGUCUCUGUGUCCUAUAGUAACUCUUAUAGUAAGAAGGUAAAUGAUAUUUGACGCGUCUUUUAAAAUAUUUAUGAGAUAAUGAUGAAAUCUGUGCAAAAUAUGAUAAUUCUAUACGAAAUUUCGAUAUUUGAUGCGAAUUUCUUUUCAAUGCUACGUGAUUUUUUUUAAAAGCUUGGAACUUCAAGAUGUGUUUCACGGAUAGCAAGUAAAUAUUUAUUCAAAUUUUUAUUUUUCAAAAUAUAAAUUUUUAUAUUCCUUCUCAUCUAUAAAAUGUUUCUAUUACAUUUUGAUAAUAAUAUGUCUGCAUUUAUUUAAUAAAAUCUUAAUAUCCCACUUUAUUUAACGCAAACUUAAAAUUAUUUAUAACUUAAUAAGGUCCAAUUGAUAUUUUUGCAUAUCGAUUUUUGUAUUUUUAAUAUCCUGUUUAUAAAAGAUCCAAUAAAAAUAUAAAAUUGUAUUUUGUACAAUAUCAAGAUAAAUUUCAAAUUAGUUAUAAAAAUAUCACUAUAGUAAAAAUAUUUGUCUAUAUGUUUAUACGUUAUAAAAAAUUUAAAAGUAUAA